Molecule: non-coding RNA, 72 nt
Organism: Ictidomys tridecemlineatus (thirteen-lined ground squirrel)
Lineage: Eukaryota; Metazoa; Chordata; Mammalia; Rodentia; Sciuridae
Source: Rfam
AGGGCUGGGGCUCAGCAGUAGAGCGCUCGCCUCACACGUGUGAGAACCUGAGUUCUAUCCUCAGCACCACAU